UGAACGCUGGCGGUAUGCUUAACACAUGCAAGUCGAACGGAAACGAUACUAGCUUGCUAGUAGGCGUCGAGUGGCGGACGGGUGAGUAACGCGUAGGAAUCUGCCUGAUAGUGGGGGAUAGCCCGAAGAAAUUCGGAUUAAUACCGCAUAAUCUAUUCGUAGUAAAGUGGGGGACUUUCGAGCCUCACGCUAUCAGAUGAGCCUGCGUAAGAUUAGCUUGUUGGUGGGGUAAAAGCCCACCAAGGCGACGAUCUUUAGCUGGUCUGAGAGGAUGAUCAGCCACAUCGGGACUGAGACACGGCCCGAACUCCUACGGGAGGCAGCAGUGGGGAAUAUUGGACAAUGGGGGCAACCCUGAUCCAGCAAUACCGCGUGUGUGAAGAAGGCCUGAGGGUUGUAAAGCACUUUCAAUUGUGAAGAAAAGUUAGCGGUUAAUAACCGUUAGCCUUGACGUUAACUUUAGAAGAAGCACCGGCUAACUCCGUGCCAGCAGCCGCGGUAAUACGGAGGGUGCAAGCGUUAAUCGGAAUUACUGGGCGUAAAGCGUGCGUAGGCGGUUUAUUAAGUCAGAUGUGAAAGCCCCGGGCUUAACCUGGGAACUGCAUUUGAAACUGGUCAACUAGAGUAUGGUAGAGGGAAAGUGGAAUUUCUGGUGUAGCGGUGAAAUGCGUAGAUAUCAGAAGGAACAUCAAUGGGCGAAGGCAGCUUUCUGGACCAAUACUGACGCUGAGGUACGAAAGCGUGGGUAGCAAACAGGAUUAGAUACCCUGGUAGUCCACGCCGUAAACGAUGAUAACUAGCCGUUGGGGGGAUUUACCCUUUAGUGGCGAAGCUAACGCGUUAAGUUAUCCGCCUGGGGAGUACGGCCGCAAGGUUAAAACUCAAAGGAAUUGACGGGGACCCGCACAAGCGGUGGAGCAUGUGGUUUAAUUCGAUGCAACGCGAAGAACCUUACCUGGUCUUGACAUCCUGCGAACUUUCUAGAAAUAGAUUGGUGCCUUCGGGAACGCAGUGACAGGUGCUGCAUGGCUGUCGUCAGCUCGUGUCGUGAGAUGUUGGGUUAAGUCCCGUAACGAGCGCAACCCCUAUCCUUAUUUGCCAGCACAUUAUGGUGGGAACUAUAAGGAGACUGCCGGUGAUAAACCGGAGGAAGGCGGGGACGACGUCAAGUCAUCAUGGCCCUUACGACCAGGGCUACACACGUGCUACAAUGGGAAGGACAAAGAGCCGCGAAGCCGCGAGGUGUAGCUAAUCUCAUAAACCUUUUCGUAGUCCGGAUUGGAGUCUGCAACUCGACUCCAUGAAGUCGGAAUCGCUAGUAAUCGUAGAUCAGAAUGCUACGGUGAAUACGUUCCCGGGUCUUGUACACACCGCC
RNAcentral lists this ribosomal RNA (1375 nucleotides) under uncultured bacterium. RNAcentral's name for it is "16S ribosomal RNA". It matches the Rfam family "Bacterial small subunit ribosomal RNA", at positions 30 to 1394 of the family's 1533-position model. The record is from RNAcentral.